This 811-nucleotide ribosomal RNA is filed under the name Agrococcus sp. RNAcentral describes it as "bacterial SSU rRNA". It matches the Rfam family "Bacterial small subunit ribosomal RNA", at positions 63 to 883 of the family's 1533-position model. The record is from RNAcentral. Lineage: Bacteria; Bacillati; Actinomycetota; Actinomycetes; Micrococcales; Microbacteriaceae.
CGAACGAUGAAGGAGGAGCUUGCUCCUCUGGAUUAGUGGCGAACGGGUGAGUAACACGUGAGCAAUGUGCCCUUGACUCUGGAAUAAGCGCUGGAAACGGCGUCUAAUACCGGAUACGACCUUCGGAGGCAUCUCCUGUUGGUGGAAAGAACUUCGGUCAAGGAUCAGCUCACGGCCUAUCAGCUUGUUGGUGAGGUAACGGCUCACCAAGGCGACGACGGGUAGCCGGCCUGAGAGGGUGACCGGCCACACUGGGACUGAGACACGGCCCAGACUCCUACGGGAGGCAGCAGUGGGGAAUAUUGCACAAUGGGCGCAAGCCUGAUGCAGCAACGCCGCGUGAGGGACGACGGCCUUCGGGUUGUAAACCUCUUUUAGCAGGGAAGAAGCGAAAGUGACGGUACCUGCAGAAAAAGCACCGGCUAACUACGUGCCAGCAGCCGCGGUAAUACGUAGGGUGCAAGCGUUGUCCGGAAUUAUUGGGCGUAAAGAGCUCGUAGGCGGUUUGUCGCGUCUGCUGUGAAAUCCCGAGGCUCAACCUCGGGCUUGCAGUGGGUACGGGCAGACUAGAGUGCGGUAGGGGAGAUUGGAAUUCCUGGUGUAGCGGUGGAAUGCGCAGAUAUCAGGAGGAACACCGAUGGCGAAGGCAGAUCUCUGGGCCGUAACUGACGCUGAGGAGCGAAAGCAUGGGGAGCAAACAGGCUUAGAUACCCUGGUAGUCCAUGCCGUAAACGUUGGGAACUAGAUGUGGGGACCAUUCCACGGUCUCCGUGUCGUAGCUAACGCAUUAAGUUCCCCGCCUGGGGAGUAC